Molecule: ribosomal RNA, 2772 nt
Filed under: Enterobacter cloacae
Lineage: Bacteria; Pseudomonadati; Pseudomonadota; Gammaproteobacteria; Enterobacterales; Enterobacteriaceae
Description: bacterial LSU rRNA
Rfam family: Bacterial large subunit ribosomal RNA
Source: RNAcentral
AGCGUACACGGUGGAUGCCCUGGCAGUCAGAGGCGAUGAAGGACGUGCUAAUCUGCGAAAAGCGCCGGCGAGGUGAUAUGAACCUUUGACCCGGCGAUGUCCGAAUGGGGAAACCCAGUGUGAUUCGUCACACUAUCGUUAACUGAAUACAUAGGUUAACGAGGCGAACCGGGGGAACUGAAACAUCUAAGUACCCCGAGGAAAAGAAAUCAACCGAGAUUCCCCCAGUAGCGGCGAGCGAACGGGGAGCAGCCCGGAGUCUGAAUCAGCUUGUGUGUUAGUGGAAGCGUCUGGAAAGUCGCACGGUACAGGGUGACAGUCCCGUACACGAAAGCACACAGGUUGUGAACUCGAAGAGUAGGGCGGGACACGUGGUAUCCUGUCUGAAUAUGGGGGGACCAUCCUCCAAGGCUAAAUACUCCUGACUGACCGAUAGUGAACCAGUACCGUGAGGGAAAGGCGAAAAGAACCCCGGCGAGGGGAGUGAAAAAGAACCUGAAACCGUGUACGUACAAGCAGUGGGAGCACCUUCGGGUGUGACUGCGUACCUUUUGUAUAAUGGGUCAGCGACUUAUAUUCUGUAGCAAGGUUAACCGUAUAGGGGAGCCGAAGGGAAACCGAGUCUUAACUGGGCGUUAAGUUGCAGGGUAUAGACCCGAAACCCGGUGAUCUAGCCAUGGGCAGGUUGAAGGUUGGGUAACACUAACUGGAGGACCGAACCGACUAAUGUUGAAAAAUUAGCGGAUGACCUGUGGCUGGGGGUGAAAGGCCAAUCAAACCGGGAGAUAGCUGGUUCUCCCCGAAAGCUAUUUAGGUAGCGCCUCGUGAACUCAUCUUCGGGGGUAGAGCACUGUUUCGGCUAGGGGGCCAUCCCGGCUUACCAACCCGAUGCAAACUACGAAUACCGAAGAAUGUUAUCACGGGAGACACACGGCGGGUGCUAACGUCCGUCGUGAAGAGGGAAACAACCCAGACCGCCAGCUAAGGUCCCAAAGUCAUGGUUAAGUGGGAAACGAUGUGGGAAGGCACAGACAGCCAGGAUGUUGGCUUAGAAGCAGCCAUCAUUUAAAGAAAGCGUAAUAGCUCACUGGUCGAGUCGGCCUGCGCGGAAGAUGUAACGGGGCUAAACCAUGCACCGAAGCUGCGGCAGCGACACUAUGUGUUGUUGGGUAGGGGAGCGUUCUGUAAGCCGUCGAAGGUGGCCUGUGAGGGCUGCUGGAGGUAUCAGAAGUGCGAAUGCUGACAUAAGUAACGAUAAAGCGGGUGAAAAGCCCGCUCGCCGGAAGACCAAGGGUUCCUGUCCAACGUUAAUCGGGGCAGGGUGAGUCGACCCCUAAGGCGAGGCCGAAAGGCGUAGUCGAUGGGAAACAGGUUAAUAUUCCUGUACUUGGUGUUACUGCGAAGGGGGGACGGAGAAGGCUAUGUCAGCCGGGCGACGGUUGUCCCGGUUUAAGCGUGUAGGUGUGUGUUCCAGGCAAAUCCGGUUCACUUUAACACUGAGGCGUGAUGACGAGGCACUACGGUGCUGAAGUGAUAAAUGCCCUGCUUCCAGGAAAAGCCUCUAAGCAUCAGGUAACACGAAAUCGUACCCCAAACCGACACAGGUGGUCAGGUAGAGAAUACCAAGGCGCUUGAGAGAACUCGGGUGAAGGAACUAGGCAAAAUGGUGCCGUAACUUCGGGAGAAGGCACGCUGAUAUGUAGGUGAAGCCCCUGCGGGUGGAGCUGAAAUCAGUCGAAGAUACCAGCUGGCUGCAACUGUUUAUUAAAAACACAGCACUGUGCAAACACGAAAGUGGACGUAUACGGUGUGACGCCUGCCCGGUGCCGGAAGGUUAAUUGAUGGGGUUAGCGGCAACGCGAAGCUCUUGAUCGAAGCCCCGGUAAACGGCGGCCGUAACUAUAACGGUCCUAAGGUAGCGAAAUUCCUUGUCGGGUAAGUUCCGACCUGCACGAAUGGCGUAAUGAUGGCCAGGCUGUCUCCACCCGAGACUCAGUGAAAUUGAACUCGCUGUGAAGAUGCAGUGUACCCGCGGCAAGACGGAAAGACCCCGUGAACCUUUACUAUAGCUUGACACUGAACACUGGUCCUUGAUGUGUAGGAUAGGUGGGAGGCUUUGAAGCGUGGACGCCAGUCUGCGUGGAGCCGUCCUUGAAAUACCACCCUUUAAUGGCUGGUGUUCUAACGUGGACCCGUGAUCCGGGUUGCGGACAGUGUCUGGUGGGUAGUUUGACUGGGGCGGUCUCCUCCCAAAGAGUAACGGAGGAGCACGAAGGUUAGCUAAUCCUGGUCGGACAUCAGGAGGUUAGUGCAAUGGCAUAAGCUAGCUUGACUGCGAGAGUGACGGCUCGAGCAGGUGCGAAAGCAGGUCAUAGUGAUCCGGUGGUUCUGAAUGGAAGGGCCAUCGCUCAACGGAUAAAAGGUACUCCGGGGAUAACAGGCUGAUACCGCCCAAGAGUUCAUAUCGACGGCGGUGUUUGGCACCUCGAUGUCGGCUCAUCACAUCCUGGGGCUGAAGUAGGUCCCAAGGGUAUGGCUGUUCGCCAUUUAAAGUGGUACGCGAGCUGGGUUUAGAACGUCGUGAGACAGUUCGGUCCCUAUCUGCCGUGGGCGCUGGAGAAUUGAGGGGGGCUGCUCCUAGUACGAGAGGACCGGAGUGGACGCAUCACUGGUGUUCGGGUUGUCAUGCCAAUGGCACUGCCCGGUAGCUAAAUGCGGAAGAGAUAAGUGCUGAAAGCAUCUAAGCACGAAACUUGCCCCGAGAUGAGUUCU